This 253-nucleotide ribosomal RNA is filed under the name uncultured bacterium. Its description in RNAcentral is "partial 16S ribosomal RNA". It matches the Rfam family "Bacterial small subunit ribosomal RNA", at positions 524 to 776 of the family's 1533-position model. The record is from RNAcentral.
UACGUAGGUGGCAAGCGUUAUCCGGAAUUAUUGGGCGUAAAGCGCGCGCAGGCGGUUUCUUAAGUCUGAUGUGAAAGCCCACGGCUCAACCGUGGAGGGUCAUUGGAAACUGGGGAACUUGAGUGCAGAAGAGAAAAGCGGAAUUCCACGUGUAGCGGUGAAAUGCGUAGAGAUGUGGAGGAACACCAGUGGCGAAGGCGGCUUUUUGGUCUGUAACUGACGCUGAGACGCGAAAGCGUGGGGAGCGAACAGG